This 363-nucleotide transfer-messenger RNA is filed under the name Nitrosospira sp. It matches the Rfam family "transfer-messenger RNA". From Rfam's summary of the family: Bacterial tmRNA, also known as 10Sa RNA or SsrA, is named for its dual tRNA and mRNA-like properties. Its role is to liberate the mRNA from a stalled ribosome. The record is from RNAcentral. Lineage: Bacteria; Pseudomonadati; Pseudomonadota; Betaproteobacteria; Nitrosomonadales; Nitrosomonadaceae. RNAcentral also lists the same sequence under 2 other names.
GGGGGCGACUUGGCUUCGACGUGGGUUGCAAAGCAGCGCAGGGCAUACCGAGGACCAGUCACCUCGUAAAUACAUCUGGAAAAGCAAUAGUCGCAAACGACGAACGUUACGCUCUAGCCGCUUAAAUCCGGCUAGACUCUGCACCGGUGGGCCUCAACGCCGGGUCUGGCAACAGACAGCAGAGCCAUUAACGAGGAUCGCGCUCCGUAGGGUCGCUUUACAGAGCGUUAAAAAAUAGGUGGCUCGCCUGUCAUCAGCCCGCCGGUUGGCGGAUGCCGGGUUAAACUAAAUAACAUGGCUAAGUAUGUAGAACUGACUGUAGAGGACUUGCGGACGCGGGUUCGAUUCCCGCCGCCUCCACCA